Molecule: ribosomal RNA, 404 nt
Filed under: Fusobacteriota bacterium
Lineage: Bacteria; Fusobacteriati; Fusobacteriota
Description: Fusobacteria bacterium partial 16S ribosomal RNA
Rfam family: Bacterial small subunit ribosomal RNA
Source: RNAcentral
UGGGGAAUAUUGCACAAUGGAGGGAACUCUGAUGCAGCGACGCCGCGUGAGUGAUGAAGGAAUUCGUUUCGUAAAACUCUGUUCUAUGGGAAGAAAAGGACUGUACCAUAGGAGAAAGCUCCGGCUAAAUACGUGCCAGAAGCCGCGGUAAUACGUAUGGAGCGAGCGUUGUCCGGAAUUAUUGGGCGUAAAGGGUGCGCAGGCGGCUUUACAAGUUGGAUGUGAAAUAUUGUGGCUCAACCACAAACGUGCAUCCAAAACUGCAAAGCUUGAGUUAAGGAGAGGUAAGUGGAAUUCCUGGUGUAGCGGUGGAAUGCGUAGAUAUCAGGAGGAAUACCGGUGGCGAAGGCGACUUACUGGACUUAAACUGACGCUCAGGCACGAAAGCGUGGGGAGCAAACAGG